Molecule: non-coding RNA, 672 nt
Organism: Equus caballus (horse)
Lineage: Eukaryota; Metazoa; Chordata; Mammalia; Perissodactyla; Equidae
Source: RefSeq, a predicted model, not a curated record
UGCCUUGGUGUUUUUGCUAUUGACCCGAGAGAUGAAAAAAGAAAAAAAAUGUCCAGGCAUUAUGGAUGCUUCCCAGUUGAUGCAGAUGAUUUUGUCUUUAUGGUGAUGACAAAAUAUCGUGUUGUGUGCUUUUUCUUCAGCAGUUAUCAUAAGACUAGCAGUAGAAUGGCAAAGCAGAUAAUCAGGAUCUCCCGGGUUUCCAGUUUUACAACACAAAUAAGACGAGUGGUAAGGAAUUUUUGAUUAUUUCAAGGAAAUUAUUGAGAUCACAGUCCGUGGAAUGUAGGACUGACAGGUCCACGAGGAAAUUAAAGUGAGGACAUGGUGAUCUGGCAUCACUUCCGAUCUGAAGGAACAGGAGGAAGAUUACCCUGAGCUAACAUCUGUGCCAGUCUUCCUCUCCUUUGUCCGUGGGAUGCCUCCACAGCGUGGCCGAUGAGUGGAGACGAGAGGAAAAGAAGUGAUGAUGGUCAAGUCUUCGCAGAGGAAGCUGCGUGAUCGUGGGAAUCAACCCAAACCAAAGCCCGGAUUAAGAAUUCCCAUCUCUUUGAGGAUGCGCAGUUACAUAUUCAGAAGGCCAGUUACUAGAAUGCCAUCCCACCCAGCAGUGAGGGGUCACUGGGAGAGCACGUGGCACCAGCCCCAACAGGUCUGCUGGCAGGAGAGAAGUGG